CUUCAAGACUGUCAAAGAGUUAGAUAUGAUGAGUCAUAAUGGCAUAGAAUGCCUGGGAUGUGCUAGCUCCAAUAGACGGUGUUAACUGGUACUAUCUUCUGGUCAUCUACAGUCUACAUCUACAGCCAUCUCCUGACGUAACAGCUGUGCAGAGAGGCACUGUCUUUCUGGAACGUAUCAUCCAAGGAAAGGCUUCCGUGCUCUGGGCUUGAAGGGAUAGAUUUUGAGGGAUAAGUGCAGCUAUUGGCAUCAAAUACCGAAGGGAGCAAUUCACCACGGGGCCAGUGGCUCUCUGGAGAGAAGACAACUUGGAUUAGAACCUAGCCUCGGGCUGCUUGGGUAUGAUAUGGAGAGGAGCUCACUUAAUAAAGUGGUUGCCAUGGAAAUGAGAGGACCCAAACUUUGUUCUCCAGCACCCAUAGAAGCAGCCAGAGGUGGGCGUGCAUUUAUGGGAGGCUGAGACAGACGGCUGUCUCACCGAUGAGCCGGAUGAGCCCUUCUUCAAAAGAUAAGGUGAUGGGACACGUCUGCUAAUACUGACUCAUCACAACUGUCAUUAAUCGAGCUUGAGACCUGUUCCCCUCUGAGGUGCUCAGCGCGUCGUCAAACCAGUUUUUUACUCGGAAAGACAGAUGGCAUCAACGUGAAAGAUGUCUUCUAAGUCCCAUCACCACCUGGGUGAAGGAUGUUUGAAAGACGCUACAUCCUGCAUUGGGGGGCAGGCAGGCAGCCACAGCGAGGCUGUGAGGGUGGUGAGGCUGUGAGGUGACCAGUCCUGCUGGCAGAGCCUCUGGGGAUGAUGGGGGAGGGGGUCAGAGACACCCCCUGCAGAGCAAAUGGAGAAGAGAAACCAUCCGUGAGGGGAGGCAGGAGCUCAGAGCCGGCGGCAGUUGGGAACAAGUCUGUUUUUUAUGGAGCUCGCAAACCUGAACUCGAAUAUUAAAAAUGCUUUCAUCAGUCCCCUUAAUCCAGAGAAAUUCUUUUGGCUUAGAUGGGAGGAAAAGUCGGUCCCUUAAGGGGAAGGCAGGCGGAGAAGAACGUAAUGAGGAUGUGAGUCAGAGGCUAGAACUGCUGCUGGCAGAUGCCUUGGUGAAGGAGGCCAGGCUGAGGGGGACUGCAGACCAGGGAUAGCUCUCCUUGCUUUUUAUUGAUCUCUCUCUUUAGUUAUUAAAACGCUGGGCUCUG
Molecule: small RNA, 1185 nt
Filed under: Rattus norvegicus (Norway rat)
Lineage: Eukaryota; Metazoa; Chordata; Mammalia; Rodentia; Muridae
Description: uncharacterized LOC102553430
Source: RNAcentral